GACGAACGCUGGCGGCGUGCUUAACACAUGCAAGUCGAACGGAAAGGCCCUGCUUUUGUGGGGUGCUCGAGUGGCGAACGGGUGAGUAACACGUGAGUAACCUGCCCUUGACUUUGGGAUAACUUCAGGAAACUGGGGCUAAUACCGGAUAGGAGCUCCUGCUGCAUGGUGGGGGUUGGAAAGUUUCGGCGGUUGGGGAUGGACUCGCGGCUUAUCAGCUUGUUGGUGGGGUAGUGGCUUACCAAGGCUUUGACGGGUAGCCGGCCUGAGAGGGUUACCGGCCACAUGGGGACUGAGAGACGGCCCAGACUCCUACGGGAGGCAGCAGGGGGGAAUAUUGCACAAUGGGCGGAAGCCUGAUGCAGCAACGCCGCGUGCGGGAUGACGGCCUUCGGGUUGUAAACCGCUUUCGCCUGUGACGAAGCGUGAGUGACGGUAAUGGGUAAAGAAGCACCGGCUAACUACGUG
RNAcentral lists this ribosomal RNA (468 nucleotides) under uncultured bacterium. Its description in RNAcentral is "partial 16S ribosomal RNA". It matches the Rfam family "Bacterial small subunit ribosomal RNA", at positions 28 to 507 of the family's 1533-position model. The record is from RNAcentral.